CUCAACCUCUAGAAUAAGAACCCUACACUUUCACCCAUUGUGCGACGGCAGUGGCGAGACCCCCUCCUUUCUCGUGAUAUCCUUGGGACUGAUCGAUUUAACUUGGAACACGUAUCUUAAUCUUACCGAGCAAAACCAAGGUCGUUAACUUUGGAACAUGGACUUGCUAUCUGGGAGUGCUGGAGUGGUCAUGGAUCGAGACUUUUGGAUUGACUUAUAAACGAUACAUUGACUUUGAUUAUUAUCAUGAAACUAUUACUAAACGAUUUAUUACAUGCUUCCGCUACACAACAUCUUGAGAAUUGAUAUCAUGUUUAACAAUUUCUAUUGGUGAUUAAUGGCAUGUUUCAUUAAAUAUUUA
Molecule: long non-coding RNA, 361 nt
Organism: Helianthus annuus (common sunflower)
Lineage: Eukaryota; Viridiplantae; Streptophyta; Magnoliopsida; Asterales; Asteraceae
Exons: 3
Source: RefSeq, a predicted model, not a curated record